GAUGAACGCUGGCGGCGUGCCUAACACAUGCAAGUCGAGCGGAUGGACGAAGCUUUCGCCUGGAUUCCGCUGCGGGCGGGUGAGUGAGUCCUAGGAAUCUGCCUGGUAUUGGGGGAUAACGUCCGUAAACGGGCGCGGAUACCGCAUACGUCCUUAUGGUGAAAGUGGGGGAUCUUUGGAGCUCGCCGUAUCUGCUGUGACUAGGCCGGAUUAGCUAGUUGGUGGGGUAAAGGCCUACCAAGGCGACGAUCCGUAACUAGUCUGAGAGGAUGAUCAGUCACACUGGAACUGAGACACGGUCCAGACUCCUACGGGAGGCAGCAGUGGGGAAUAUUGGACAAUGGGCGAAAGCCUGACACAGCCAUGCCGCGUGUGUGAAGAAGGUCUUCGGAUCGUAAAGCACUGUUAGUUGGGAGGAAGGGCAGUAAGUUAAUACCUGGCUGUUUUGACGUUACCAACAGAAUAAGCACCGGCUAACUUCGUG
This 484-nucleotide ribosomal RNA is filed under the name uncultured bacterium. Its description in RNAcentral is "partial 16S ribosomal RNA". It matches the Rfam family "Bacterial small subunit ribosomal RNA", at positions 28 to 507 of the family's 1533-position model. The record is from RNAcentral.